CGGAGGAAAAGAAACCAACAGGGAUUGCCCCAGUAACGGCGAGUGAAGCGGCAACAGCUCAAAUUUGAAAUCUGGCCCCUCCGGGUCCGAGUUGUAAUUUGUAGAGGAUGCUUUUGGUGAGGUGCCGCCCGAGUUCCCUGGAACGGGACGCCACAGAGGGUGAGAGCCCCGUCUGGCUGGCCACCGAGCCUCUGUAAAGCUCCUUCGACGAGUCGAGUAGUUUGGGAAUGCUGCUCAAAAUGGGAGGUAUAUGUCUUCUAAAGCUAAAUAUUGGCCAGAGACCGAUAGCGCACAAGUAGAGUGAUCGAAAGAUGAAAAGCACCUUGAAAAGAGGGUUAAACAGUACGUGAAAUUGUUGAAAGGGAAGCGCUUGUGACCAGACUUGGGCGCGGCGGAUCAUCCGGGGUUCUCUCCGGUGCACUUCGCCGCGUUCAGGCCAGCAUCAGUUCGUCGCGGGGGAAAAAGGCUUCGGGAACGUGGCUCCUCCGGGAGUGUUAUAGCCCGUUGCAUAAUACCCUGCGGUGGACUGAGGACCGCGCAUCUGCAAGGAUGCUGGCGUAAUGGUCACCAGCGACCCGUCUUGAAACACGGACCAAGGAGUCGUCUUCGUAUGCGAGUGUUCGGGUGUCAAACCCCUACGCGUAAUGAAAGUGAACGCAGGUGAGAGCUUCGGCGCAUCAUCGACCGAUCCUGAUGUUCUCGGAUGGAUUUGAGUAAGAGCAUACGGGGCCGGACCCGAAAGAAGGUGAACUAUGCCUGUAUAGGGUGAAGCCAGAGGAAACUCUGGUGGAGGCUCGCAGCGGUUCUGACGUGCAAAUCGAUCGUCAAAUAUGGGCAUGGGGGCGAAAGACUA
Molecule: ribosomal RNA, 853 nt
Filed under: Trichoderma viride
Lineage: Eukaryota; Fungi; Ascomycota; Sordariomycetes; Hypocreales; Hypocreaceae
Description: eukaryotic LSU rRNA
Rfam family: Eukaryotic large subunit ribosomal RNA
Source: RNAcentral